RNAcentral lists this ribosomal RNA (467 nucleotides) under uncultured soil bacterium. Its description in RNAcentral is "bacterial SSU rRNA". It matches the Rfam family "Bacterial small subunit ribosomal RNA", at positions 59 to 519 of the family's 1533-position model. The record is from RNAcentral.
CAGUCGAACGGCAGCACGGGGGCAACCCUGGUGGCGAGUGGCGAACGGGUGAGUAAUACAUCGGAACGUGUCCUGUAGUGGGGGAUAGCCCGGCGAAAGCCGGAUUAAUACCGCAUACGAUCUACGGAAGAAAGCGGGGGAUCCUUCGGGACCUCGCGCUGUAGGGGCGGCCGAUGGCAGAUUAGCCAGUUGGUGGGGUAAAGGCCUACCAAGGCGACGAUCUGUAGCUGGUCUGAGAGGACGACCAGCCACACUGGGACUGAGACACGGCCCAGACUCCUACGGGAGGCAGCAGUGGGGAAUUUUGGACAAUGGGGGAAACCCUGAUCCAGCAAUGCCGCGUGUGUGAAGAAGGCCUUCGGGUUGUAAAGCACUUUUGUCCGGAAAGAAAACCUUUGCACUAAUACUGUGGGGGGAUGACGGUACCGGAAGAAUAAGCACCGGCUAACUACGUGNNNNNNGCCGCG